Rana temporaria (common frog) is the source of this 152-nucleotide long non-coding RNA. RefSeq lists it as uncharacterized. The record is from RefSeq and is a predicted model, not a curated record. NCBI's taxonomy places the organism in Eukaryota, Metazoa, Chordata, Amphibia, Anura, Ranidae. The transcript is spliced from 2 exons.
CUCGAGGUGUAUUAGUGCCUUGAGUGCGGGAAAUGUCUCGGAUCGCUGAGCCGCUGCAGGAACAGGAACAUGUAACAUCUUCCCGAAGGUGAACGUUUCCUUUAACUCUUUCACUGACAGAGCUGUAUUUGCGUUUUUUGCCCACAUUUAAA